CAUUGCAACAUCCAACUCCUCCACAUCAUUCUCUCUUCACCACAGCAGCAGGAAAGAUAAAUGGCAUUCCAGAAGAAACAUCUCAGCAGAAAUCCAUGCCAGUGCUACAUCUCUGCGUCUGACAGGAAGCCUUUAAUAUCUUUCUGGAUUGAGUCUACGUGAAUUGCCCAAGUGAGUGUGCCGUGUCCAGGGCUAGGUAUCAGAGCUUCCUGGCUCCAGGCCUUCUGUUUUGACACAGCUCUUUCAAAAGGUGACUCUAGACACUGGGGUCAGAUGAUGUUUUGAAAAUGCUCUCACAGAUGCCUUUUCUGCAUUCCUCCUGCCACUGUGGAUCGUGUCUUGGCUGGUGUGAUUAUUCAUGUGCUGCAGUGGUGAUGCUCUCUGGGGCAUUCAGUUGCUGCUGGAGAUGUGUGAUGGAAAAGGAACUCUGCUGCCUACUGUACAGCCUUAAAAUUGUGGCAGUUAAAUGGGAUUCUAAGUGAACAAGCUAAACAGUCUCUCAGGAGUUACACCUAUGGAAUACAGCCAAAGUGAGUACAAACUGAGCUUGUACUGCAUGGCACACAGCUGUGCAGCUGCAGGGCACCUUUGGCACAAAUGCUAUCCUGUGUUCACUGACCCUCACAUCUCGCGUUUGGAGAAACCUUGAUGGGAAGGAAUAAGGAUCACAUUUCAAAGCCUUCUCAGUCCACGUGAAAUAAACCAUGUCUCUAACACAGCUGUCUUACUGUCCCUUGCAGUCUUGAAACUUUAACUGUUAAGUGCAUGUUUGGGGAUUAAAGCAUGUUGUUUCCACAGAGCUUGUACUCUAGUUUUUGGGGCCCUGGUUCAGAGGUUUGGGAUGUGUGAUAUAUUGGGAACUGGUUUUCUUUUGCACAUUUUAAUUGUGCUAAAUCUGUUUUAAUAAAUGUAGAUUGCAAUGCCUGUGUCAUAAAAAUAUAAACCUUGUCAUAUGUGAUGACGAGAGUCUCUCAGCUAAAUUUGGCAAUACUACUGUAAAAAUAUUUUAAUAAGGUAACUGAACAGUCCAAAUAGUGAUAUUGUGGUUUUGUUGAAUGAUUUUUAAACUGCUGCCAUUUUUCUAGACUAUAUGGGUGUGCUUUGAAACAGAACCUUUUGAAAUGAGCCUUAAAUGUACUUUGGAAAAUAAGGCAGUUGGAAUCAAGUGAUAUUUAUUUUUUAAUUGGAUCCUGGGAUUAUUAACCUCUUGGUUACUGGGAAAGAAAUCUAGAUAGAAAUGACACAUUGCACUAUUACUUGCA
Cyanistes caeruleus (blue tit) is the source of this 1262-nucleotide long non-coding RNA. RefSeq lists it as uncharacterized. NCBI's taxonomy places the organism in Eukaryota, Metazoa, Chordata, Aves, Passeriformes, Paridae. The record is from RefSeq and is a predicted model, not a curated record.